This 941-nucleotide long non-coding RNA is filed under the name Pan troglodytes (chimpanzee). Its description in RNAcentral is "lncRNA (ENSPTRG00000053781.1)". Lineage: Eukaryota; Metazoa; Chordata; Mammalia; Primates; Hominidae. The record is from RNAcentral.
AGAGAUGGGGUUUCACCAGUUUGCAGGAUGGUCUCUAUCUCCUGACCUUGUGAUCCACCCCACCUCAGCCUCCCAAAGUGCUGGGAUUGCAGGUGCGAGCCACGGGUCCAGCCUCUCAGGCGAUUUUCAUACCUGCAUACUUCAUCACUACUUCUGUAAACAGCAAGGAGGGUAGUAUUAUCUGUCAGAUUUCCAGAGCUCUGGUCUCUGUAAAGCCCUCUUCCUCCUCAAUAUUCUGCCUAUGAAUUCUAGCCACAUGGCCUUGCCCAGACUCACAGUUCUUCUUCAACUCAGGAAGAUCUCUGAGCUCCAUCUGCAUUCUUUCUUCCUGUGCUGUGGCCUGGAAAGUUUUCUAAGGUGUUUGGGAGCUGAGUGCCACGUGCUGACAUCACUAAGAUCAAUACAGCAAACUCUGAAAGAUGGACAGAGAGACAGGAGAUCGUCCUUUGUAAUUCAGUGUGAUCUGUGCUGCAAUAGAGUUUUGGAAGCUAGAAGUUCAAAAUGAGGUUUUGGCAGCACCAUGCUCUCUCUGAAGAUGCUAGGAAGAAUCUGCUCCAUGCCUUUCCAUUCGCUUCUGGGGUUUCCUGCAAGCCCUGACAUUCCUUGGCUUGUAGAUGCAUCACCCCAGUUUCUGCCCCCAUCAUCACAUGGCCUCCUCUCUGCGUGUGCCUCUGCGUUCCCUCUAUUCUUCUUCUAAGGACACCGACACCAGUCAUAGUGGAUUAAGGAUCCACUCCUAACUAAUUACAUCUGCAACAACCGUAUUUCCAAAUAAAGUCACAUUCUAAGAUUCCUAGGGAGAACAUGAAUUUUUGGGGGUGUGUGGAUACUGUUCAACCUGGGACAUGGAGUAAAUAAAUGGCAAGGAAGAUUACAGAUGACUUUAAGCUAAAGAGGGAGAUAGGGUUAAAUGUAGGACUUUUUUUUUUUUUCCAGGACGG